CCUGCUACAAGCGCUACAGCUUCGCCCCCCGUGCAUGGCUGCAAGUGCAAACUAUGCGGCAAAAUGAUUGGAAGGUUGAGCACCUUGGGAAACCACGUAAUGAACCAACAUUACACAGCAAUAAGAGGAAAAAAAAAAGUGACCAUGUUAAGACUAUCAGAGGAAACUGGGGUGCCGGCCGAGUAUUUGAGGGCGAUAGUCAUGUGCAGCGAUGACUAUAAAAAAUUGGGUGCCGCUUGUGGGCCGACAAGACGGAUGCAGAGAAGCUGAAGGACAUCAACCAAUAACUGUUUCGUUUUUUAAUUUUAGUAUUUGGUUUG
Long non-coding RNA from Drosophila miranda, 320 nucleotides. RefSeq lists it as uncharacterized. The record is from RefSeq and is a predicted model, not a curated record. NCBI's taxonomy places the organism in Eukaryota, Metazoa, Arthropoda, Insecta, Diptera, Drosophilidae. The transcript is spliced from 2 exons.